UGCGUAGGUGGCGGGGUAAGUCAGGUGUGAAAUCUCGGAGCUCAACUCCGAAACUGCACUUGAUACUGCCUUGCUCGAGUACUGGAGAGGAGAUUGGAAUUUACGGUGUAGCAGUGAAAUGCGUAGAUAUCGUAAGGAAGACCAGUGGCGAAGGCGAAUCUCUGGACAGUUACUGACACUGAGGCACGAAGGCCAGGGGAGCAAACA
RNAcentral lists this ribosomal RNA (207 nucleotides) under uncultured bacterium. RNAcentral's name for it is "partial 16S ribosomal RNA". It matches the Rfam family "Bacterial small subunit ribosomal RNA", at positions 568 to 774 of the family's 1533-position model. The record is from RNAcentral.